RNAcentral lists this ribosomal RNA (760 nucleotides) under Lentilactobacillus buchneri. Its description in RNAcentral is "bacterial SSU rRNA". It matches the Rfam family "Bacterial small subunit ribosomal RNA", at positions 49 to 765 of the family's 1533-position model. Lineage: Bacteria; Bacillati; Bacillota; Bacilli; Lactobacillales; Lactobacillaceae. The record is from RNAcentral.
UAAUACAUGCAAGUCGAACGCGUCUCCGUUAAUGAUUUUAGGUGCUUGCACUUGAAAGAUUUAACAUUGAGACGAGUGGCGAACUGGUGAGUAACACGUGGGUAACCUGCCCUUGAAGUAGGGGAUAACACUUGGAAACAGGUGCUAAUACCGUAUAACAACCAAAACCACCUGGUUUUGGUUUAAAAGACGGCUUCGGCUGUCACUUUAGGAUGGACCCGCGGCGUAUUAGCUUGUUGGUAAGGUAACGGCCUACCAAGGCGAUGAUACGUAGCCGACCUGAGAGGGUAAUCGGCCACAUUGGGACUGAGACACGGCCCAAACUCCUACGGGAGGCAGCAGUAGGGAAUCUUCCACAAUGGACGAAAGUCUGAUGGAGCAACGCCGCGUGAGUGAUGAAGGGUUUCGGCUCGUAAAACUCUGUUGUUGGAGAAGAACAGGUGUCAGAGUAACUGUUGACAUCUUGACGGUAUCCAACCAGAAAGCCACGGCUAACUACGUGCCAGCAGCCGCGGUAAUACGUAGGUGGCAAGCGUUGUCCGGAUUUAUUGGGCGUAAAGCGAGCGCAGGCGGUUUUUUAGGUCUGAUGUGAAAGCCUUCGGCUUAACCGGAGAAGUGCAUCGGAAACCGGGAGACUUGAGUGCAGAAGAGGACAGUGGAACUCCAUGUGUAGCGGUGAAAUGCGUAGAUAUAUGGAAGAACACCAGUGGCGAAGGCGGCUGUCUGGUCUGUAACUGACGCUGAGGCUCGAAAGCAUGGG